UACAGAGGGGGCAAGCGUUAUUCGGAAUUAUUGGGCGUAAAGGGCGCGUAGGCGGCCUUUCAAGUGACGGGUGAAAUCCCUCGGCUUAACCGAGGAACUGCCUGUCAGACUGGGAGGCUUGAGACCGGGAGAGGUGAGUGGAAUUCCCAGUGUAGCGGUGAAAUUCGUAGAUAUUAGGAAGAACACCGGUGGCGAAGGCGGGUCUCUGGGCCGAUACUGACGCUGAGGAGCGAAAGCGUGGGGAGCGAACAGG
Molecule: ribosomal RNA, 253 nt
Filed under: uncultured bacterium
Lineage: Bacteria
Description: partial 16S ribosomal RNA
Rfam family: Bacterial small subunit ribosomal RNA
Source: RNAcentral